AUGCAAGUUUUGAUGAUCCGUACAGCUGUGCGUGAGUCUGCGGAGGCGACCAUGGUACGUUUCUUUGAGGGAUUAGAAGAAAAGAUUCGUGACCGUGUUGAUUUAAUGCAAUAUAAUGAUAUUCAUGAGUUGCUUCAUCAAGCGGAGCGUGCUGAACGUUGGGUAUUGGAGAAGCAAGCUUCAGAGACUCGUCCAACUUACAACAGUGGGCGACGUGGUUUUUCUCCUAUUGAUGGUGGGUUUAGUGCUAAACCGACUCCUUAUAAGUCGGGAAGCAUUGAACAUAGCAAAGUGGCGGCUGCGCCAAAGGAGGUUUCUCAGGUUUCGUCUAGUGCGACGUCAUCGCAUCACCAUAAUAUUAUUUGCCACAAGUGUGGAGGACGUGGACACAUGAAGCAUGAAUGUUCCAAUCAACGAAGGGUUCUACUUGUUGAUGCGGAAUAUAUUUCAGAGUCUGAAGAUGAGUCGCCUAAGUUAGAGGAUGGAAUCGAAAGAGGUCAUGGUAAUACCAUACUGUGUUAUCCUCAAGAUGAUCCUGAUAUGGAGAGUUUGCUAGCACACAAGGUCCAGCGAGAUGACAAGGUCAUUUUUGAACCAGGACAACGACGGAGUAUUUUUCAAACUGCAUGUACCAUCAAGGGAGAAGUGUGCAAACUGAUAAUUGAUGGUGGCAGUGCUAGCAACAUGAUUAGUAAGGAUGUGGUGGAGUCUCUUUCGUUGCCAACAUGGGAGCAUCCAAAACCAUACUAUAUGAAGUGGAUAAAUGAUGUAGGCAAAGUGAAAGUACCACACAGGGUGAAGGUGCCUUUUUCUGUUGAUGGCUAUGUUGACAAAGUGGAAUGCGACGUUAUGCCACUACAUGUCUGUCAUCUUAUUUUGGGGCGUCCGUGGCAGCACGAUGUUAAUGCUCUUCAUCAUGGACGAACAAACAAGUACACUUUUAUGCAUAAGGGAGAGUUCUAUGCCAUUCUUCCCAAAGAUGAAAAGAAUAUAACGUGUACUGUUGAGGUCUUCAAGAAAAAUUCUGCAAGGUAUAGGUUGAAACCGAGAACGAUUUCUUUUCAAUGA
RNAcentral lists this ribosomal RNA (1068 nucleotides) under Triticum aestivum (bread wheat). RNAcentral's name for it is "partial small subunit ribosomal RNA". Lineage: Eukaryota; Viridiplantae; Streptophyta; Magnoliopsida; Poales; Poaceae. The record is from RNAcentral.